ACGCUCGACACCUACGGAAGGCAGCAGUGGGGAAUAUUGCACAAUGGGGGAAACCCUGAUGCAGCGACGCCGCGUGGAGGAAGAAGGUCUUCGGAUUGUAAACUCCUGUUGUCGGGGAAAAAGAGGAUGGUACCCAACAAGGAAGUGACGGCUAACUACGUGCCGGCAGCCGCGGUAAUCUGAGCGGGCUGGCAAGGC
This 198-nucleotide ribosomal RNA is filed under the name uncultured bacterium. RNAcentral describes it as "partial 16S ribosomal RNA". It matches the Rfam family "Bacterial small subunit ribosomal RNA", at positions 326 to 539 of the family's 1533-position model. The record is from RNAcentral.